UGCAAGUCGAGCGGACAGAUGGGAGCUUGCUCCCUGAUGUUAGCGGCGGACGGGUGAGUAACACGUGGGUAACCUGCCUGUAAGACUGGGAUAACUCCGGGAAACCGGGGCUAAUACCGGAUGGUUGUUUGAACCGCAUGGUUCAAACAUAAAAGGUGGCUUCGGCUACCACUUACAGAUGGACCCGCGGCGCAUUAGCUAGUUGGUGAGGUAACGGCUCACCAAGGCAACGAUGCGUAGCCGACCUGAGAGGGUGAUCGGCCACACUGGGACUGAGACACGGCCCAGACUCCUACGGGAGGCAGCAGUAGGGAAUCUUCCGCAAUGGACGAAAGUCUGACGGAGCAACGCCGCGUGAGUGAUGAAGGUUUUCGGAUCGUAAAGCUCUGUUGUUAGGGAAGAACAAGUACCGUUCGAAUAGGGCGGUACCUUGACGGUACCUAACCAGAAAGCCACGGCUAACUACGUGCCAGCAGCCGCGGUAAUACGUAGGUGGCAAGCGUUGUCCGGAAUUAUUGGGCGUAAAGGGCUCGCAGGCGGUUUCUUAAGUCUGAUGUGAAAGCCCCCGGCUCAACCGGGGAGGGUCAUUGGAAACUGGGGAACUUGAGUGCAGAAGAGGAGAGUGGAAUUCCACGUGUAGCGGUGAAAUGCGUAGAGAUGUGGAGGAACACCAGUGGCGAAAGCGACUCUCUGGUCUGUAACUGACGCUGAG
This 712-nucleotide ribosomal RNA is filed under the name Bacillus subtilis. RNAcentral's name for it is "bacterial SSU rRNA". It matches the Rfam family "Bacterial small subunit ribosomal RNA", at positions 56 to 750 of the family's 1533-position model. Lineage: Bacteria; Bacillati; Bacillota; Bacilli; Caryophanales; Bacillaceae. The record is from RNAcentral.